GACGAACCGUGCGAACGUUGUUCGGAAUCACUGGGCUUAAAGGGCGCGUAGGCGGGCGGCCAAGUCAGGGGUGAAAUCUUUCGGCUCAACCGGAAAAGUGCCUCUGAUACUGGUGGCCUCGAGGGAGGUAGGGGUCUGCGGAACUUCCGGUGGAGCGGUGAAAUGCGUAGAUAUCGGAAGGAACGCCGGUGGCGAAAGCGGCGGACUGGACCUCUUCUGACGCUGAGGCGCGAAAGCCAGGGGAGCAAACGGG
Molecule: ribosomal RNA, 253 nt
Filed under: uncultured bacterium
Lineage: Bacteria
Description: partial 16S ribosomal RNA
Rfam family: Bacterial small subunit ribosomal RNA
Source: RNAcentral